This 369-nucleotide long non-coding RNA is filed under the name Glycine max (soybean). RNAcentral's name for it is "long non-coding RNA (GMAX_LNC003249)". The record is from RNAcentral. Lineage: Eukaryota; Viridiplantae; Streptophyta; Magnoliopsida; Fabales; Fabaceae.
CGGCAUGUCCAAAGAGUACAGUUUAUGAUUACAUUAUAAAAGAGAACAAUAACAAAACGUAGACAAAUAAAAUGUGAGUUACAUAGCAAAUGAUGUGUAAAACAUGAACCCCCAAUUCAUCGUAACUCGAUACGAAAUAUAUCAAACAAAAAUAAGCAUAUAAACAUACAAAAUUGAAAAAGAAUGCAAGAUAAAGAUCGUGAACUUAACCGGUGAAAAUCGCAAAUUGGUUGAAUUCCACAUUUAAUGAAUUACACCACCUAUAUGAGAUCGUCAUCCCACCGAGUAUUCCAGCACCGUUUCGAGUCCACAUUUUGAUAUAAGCUUGUCUCUGAACAAGACCCAGGGCGUCGUCGGGAAGAGUUUCAG